CAGUCGCCACGGUAAAACGUAGGUGGCAAGCGUUGUCCGGAAUUAUUGGGCGUAAAGGGCCCGCAGGCGGUUUCUUAAGUCUGAUGUGGAAGCCCCCGGCUCAACCGGGGAGGGUCAUUGGAAACUGGGAAACUUGAGUGCAGAAGAGGAGAGUGGAAUUCCACGUGUAGCGGUGAAAUGCGUAGAGAUGUGGAGGAACACCAGUGGCGAAGGCGACUCUCUGGUCUGUAACUGACGCUGAGGAGCGAAAGCGUGGGGAGCGAACAGGAUUAGAGACCCCUGUAGUCCCUGUCUCUUAUAC
RNAcentral lists this ribosomal RNA (301 nucleotides) under uncultured bacterium. Its description in RNAcentral is "partial 16S ribosomal RNA". It matches the Rfam family "Bacterial small subunit ribosomal RNA", at positions 509 to 807 of the family's 1533-position model. The record is from RNAcentral.